AAAUAACAGACAUGUUAUACUCCUGCUCCAAACGUUGAUUAAAAACUUCCAUGUGUAAAAGACCAAGGAAACCCAACCUGGUAAAAAAAAAUAUCCUGUUGGUAAAAGUAUUUGUAUAUCCUCUGGAAUUUCACAGUGGGAUUCUUUUUUUCUUUUCCCCUUCAGCAUGUUUAUACUGCUAGUCUGGCAAUAUCAGGCACAGCAAACAAUCUCCAAAGGAUCCUGCAGGUGAAUAGUGGCUGCAGUGUAAACAUUUAGCUUAUGCAUCAUCACUGGACAAGCAGACAAAUUUCACUGAGAUGUUCCUUCAAAGGGUCUGCAUUCUUCAAGUCAAUCUGAAGAACAACAAACUGCUAAAUAUACAGGUAAUCACAUCUUCCGUACGAUCCAGCACUGUUGUUUCCAAAUAUAUAAGCGAAGGAUCCUUACUGUAUUUACAAGUAGAACACAAAGUUCUUAUUAUAUUUAUCUAUAUUUAUCUUAUCUAUUUCUUCAUUAUAUAUUUGUAUUUAAGGAUACAUGUCUUAUAAAUCUUCUAUACAUUUAAGCAACCCAGCUAUUUAAUAUGAAACUCUAAAGCCUUUAUUACCUUAUUUAUGACGGGAAUUAUUGUAAGCUGUGCUUCAAAAGCAAGGUAGAAGUUUGCCACUGUCUGAGCCUGAAUACCCUGGAAAAUAAGCAUUAAAAAAAUGUAACAUGGAACCU
Long non-coding RNA from Columba livia (rock pigeon), 705 nucleotides. RefSeq lists it as uncharacterized. NCBI's taxonomy places the organism in Eukaryota, Metazoa, Chordata, Aves, Columbiformes, Columbidae. The record is from RefSeq and is a predicted model, not a curated record. The transcript has 3 exons.